Molecule: unclassified non-coding RNA, 440 nt
Filed under: Hevea brasiliensis (rubber tree)
Lineage: Eukaryota; Viridiplantae; Streptophyta; Magnoliopsida; Malpighiales; Euphorbiaceae
Source: RNAcentral
CGCAGAUAUGUAGCUCCAGAGGUUUUCAGGAAUGAGGAAUAUGAUACCAAAGUUGAUGUCUUUUCAUUUGCCUUGAUUUUACAAGAGAUGAUUGAAGGCUACCCCCCUUUCCAUGCGAAGGAAGAAAAUGAUGUACCUAAAUUGUAUGCUGCUAAAGAGCGCCCUCCUUUUAAAGCCCCGGCGAAGUUUUAUGCCCAUGGACUGAAAGAAUUGAUUGAAGAGUGUUGGAACGACAAGCCAACCGAGCGGCCAAGUUUCAAGCAAAUUAUCCCAAGGCUUGAGUUCAUCUAUAAAAAGUUUGACCACAACAAGCGCUGGAAGGUAAUUAGACCAUUGAACUGCUUUCAGCAUUUAGAGGCAAUGUGGAAGAAAGAUAGUUCAGGUUUAAGUAGUCGGAAUCGUUCAUCUCGGUCUACGCGCCACAUCUAAGUAAGUUUCUG